CCUACGGGUGGCUGCAGUGAGGAAUAUUGGUCAAUGGGCGCGAGCCUGAACCAGCCAAGUCGCGUGAGGGAAGACUGUCCUAUGGAUUGUAAACCUCUUUUGUCGGGGAGUAAAGUACGCCACGCGUGCCGUUUCGUAUGUACCCUAAGAAUAAGGAUCGGCUAACUCCGUGCCAGCAGCCGCGGUAAUACGGAGGAUUCGAGCGUUAUCCGGAUUUAUUGGGGUUAAAGGGUGCGGAGGCGGAAGGUCAAGUCAGGUGGUAAAGUUGGAGGCUCAACCGUAAGAGAGCAGUUGAUACUGGUUGUCUUGAGUGAGUGAGAGGUAGGCGGAAUGCGUGGUGUAGCGGUGAAAUGCAUAGAUAUCACGAAGAACUCCGAUUGCGAAGGCAGCAUACCGGAGUGCAACUGACGCUGAUGCACGAAAGUGUGGGUAUCGAACAGGAUUAGAUACCCUAGUAGUC
This 460-nucleotide ribosomal RNA is filed under the name uncultured bacterium. RNAcentral describes it as "partial 16S ribosomal RNA". It matches the Rfam family "Bacterial small subunit ribosomal RNA", at positions 338 to 795 of the family's 1533-position model. The record is from RNAcentral.